RNA transcript from Glycine soja, 2357 nucleotides. It is a transcript of the gene named probable glucuronoxylan glucuronosyltransferase IRX7, with no coding region annotated. The record is from RefSeq and is a predicted model, not a curated record. NCBI's taxonomy places the organism in Eukaryota, Viridiplantae, Streptophyta, Magnoliopsida, Fabales, Fabaceae. The transcript has 5 exons.
UCCAAAUAAAAAAAAAAAUCGACAAACCCCGUUGUUUGUUUACUCUUGAGGCAAAAACGAAGUGCUAACAAAACUCCACCCUUUCUCCUCCUGUCACUGUUUCUUCGUCUCUACUUCUUCUCAAACCAGAACAGACAGCACCCUCCCAACCACCUUUGAUCUAGGUUGUUAUUUUUUUCUCUCUGAAUUUAAAUGAAAUGGCUCAGAAAAGACCCCCAAAUAGCAGGGGGUACUACGUUAAGAUGAAACUCCUUCACAAACAUGGCAGACCUCAUCAUCAUCAUCAGCAGCAGCAAGAAAAAAACUGCCUCUACAGAUACUACAAAUGGGUUCUCUGGCUUUCUCUUUCCCUCUAUUUCUUCACCUCCUACCUCAUCAGCAACAACAACAACAACAACAACCACUCCAAACAACCAUCUCACGUCUCGAGAGCCCUCAUGGAAUCAAACCACACCACACCUCCUCAACAACAAGCUCUUAACUCUCUAGGGUCUUUGAAGAACUUGAAGGUGUUUGUAUAUGAUCUUCCUCAGAAGUACAACACGGAUUGGUUAUCGAACGAGAGGUGCAGCAAACAUUUGUUCGCGUCGGAGGUUGCAAUUCACAGGGCUUUGUUGACCAGCGAGGUUCGCACGUUUGACCCAUACGACGCUGACUUUUUCUUCGUCCCCGUUUAUGUGUCUUGCAAUUUCAGCACCGUCAACGGCUUCCCGGCGAUUGGCCACGCGCGCUCCCUUAUCGCGUCCGCUGUCAGCCUCGUCUCCUCGGAGUACCCCUUCUGGAACCGGAGCAGAGGCUCCGACCACGUCUUCGUCGCCUCGCACGAUUUUGGCUCGUGUUUCCACACCCUGGAGGACGUGGCGAUGGCUGAUGGCGUGCCAGAGAUUAUGAGGAACUCGAUCGUGUUGCAGACGUUUGGCGUAGUGUAUGAUCACCCGUGCCAGAGUGUCGAGCACGUGGUGAUUCCGCCGUACGUUUCGCCGGAAAGUGUACGGGACACCAUGGAGAAUUUUCCGGUGAACGGACGGCGAGAUAUUUGGGCUUUCUUCCGAGGGAAAAUGGAACUUCAUCCUAAGAACGUUAGUGGACGAUUUUACAGCAAGAAAGUGCGGACGGUGAUAUGGAGGAAGUUCAACGGUGAUCGGCGGUUUUACCUGCAGAGGCAAAGGUUUGCCGGUUACCAGUCAGAGAUUGCACGUUCGGUGUUUUGUUUAUGUCCUCUGGGGUGGGCCCCAUGGAGUCCGAGGCUGGUCGAGUCCGUUGCCUUGGGUUGCGUGCCAGUAAUCAUAGCGGACGGUAUCCGGUUGCCGUUUAUCUCCGCCGUGAAGUGGCCGGAGAUAUCAAUCACGGUGGCGGAGAAAGACGUGGGGAGGCUGGCGGAGAUACUCGAGCGCGUGGCGGCGACAAACCUCAGCACCAUUCAGAGGAACCUGUGGGACCCAGUGACGAGGAGUGCCCUACUUUUCAACAGCCAGGUCCAGAAAGGGGAUGCCACGUGGCAGGUCCUAAGGGCUUUAAGUGAAAAGCUUGAUAGAUCCUUCAGAAGCUCGAGGGUUUCUCGCCAAUUGGAUUUUGACACGUAAGCGGGUUUAAAGUUAAACUCGGCGCCCACUUGUGUUUACUUCUUCACUCACCGGUGGUAAUGAAGAUGACAUUUCAAAAACACGCUGCAUGGACGAUAAUAAAUAGGUGCGUGGCUAAUGGAUAAAGAAUUAAAAUUAAAAAAAUUUCAUAAAAAUUUAUAAUUUUAUUAUCUUAGUAAAAAAAAAAAAUUAAUUAUCCAAGAGCACUUAAUAACAUUUACUUGAUAAAUAAAGAAAUAUUAACAUCGAGUGGAUGACAGCUGGAAUUUCUUCAGACCUGGAAUUUAAUGACUCAUGUUGGGGCCCAAGUAGCAGCAGAUUAGGUUCAAGACUUUCUUCGAGUAUUUAAUGGUGACGUGGUUUAUGGGGGUGAUGACAUGGCAAGAAUUGAUUCGUUGUUUUGCGGCUUGGACUGAGAAAUAUCUUUGGAGGUUGGUCAUUGGUGACAAAAGGGUUCGGAAAACGAAGCUGGAAAUGGGUGGUAAAGGUUGAAGAGAUUUUUGGUAUUUGUCAGUGAAAUGAUUAAUGAGAAUGGAGAUGGACGGAGGAAGUGGAAGAAGAGGGUGUGGGGUGCGAGUGUGUCAGAAAUGUCAUAACUUUUAUACUGGUAGUUUAAUUUUUUACCAAUUUUAAAUUUUUGCAAGUUAAUGGGGGUUGUGACUUGUCAGUGGUCACGGAUGUGUUAAAGGGUUGUCAAAAUCAACGCAAGCAUGGAGAAAAACCAGAGAAUCGAUUGAGAUGAAAGGGGCAUCAUUGGUGUCUUUGGUUUUUUCA